CCUACGGGAGGCUGCAGUGGGGAAUAUUGCACAAUGGGGGAAACCCUGAUGCAGCGACGCCGCGUGAGUGAAGAAGUAAUUCGGUAUGUAAAGCUCUAUCAGCAGGGAAGAAAAUGACGGUACCUGAGUAAGAAGCGCCGGCUAACUACGUGCCAGCAGCCGCGGUAAUACGUAGGGGGCAAGCGUUAUCCGGAUUUACUGGGUGUAAAGGGAGCGUAGACGGCAGUGCAAGUCUGGAGGGAAAGGCGGGGGCUCAACCCCCGGACUGCUCUGGAAACUGUACUGCUGGAGUGCAGGAGAGGUAAGUGGAAUUCCUAGUGUAGCGGUGAAAUGCGUAGAUAUUAGGAGGAACACCAGUGGCGAAGGCGGCUUACUGGACUGUAACUGACGUUGAGGCUCGAAAGCGUGGGGAGCAAACAGGAUUAGAUACCCGAGUAGUC
RNAcentral lists this ribosomal RNA (440 nucleotides) under uncultured bacterium. RNAcentral describes it as "partial 16S ribosomal RNA". It matches the Rfam family "Bacterial small subunit ribosomal RNA", at positions 338 to 795 of the family's 1533-position model. The record is from RNAcentral.